ACUCACUGCCCCUGACCUCACUCAGAGUUCAGAGGGGAAGUAAGCAUCUGAUUUGUUCCAUAGCUAAGCCUCCAGGAAGAACUGUCCUAUGGAAUUGCAGCAUCCUCAGCUAGCUCAGCAUCAGCACCGCACCUGCACCUCUGCCUUGAGAGUAAGUGGAAGAAAUCCCUCUCCUCUCCUCCCCUCCCCUCUCUGCAACUUUGCCAGCAGCUAGUAAACUACAAAGCCAGCAAUCUACAGACAUGUUAGCAAGCAAGUAUACAGGUCACCCUUCAACAUACUCUGUAAGCUUGGGAAGUCUCCAGUCUGUCCCCGCUCUCUGACCAUCACGCUACUGGAACAUUUACUCCAAAGCAAACAAGACAGUAUUCUGUCAGCAGGAUCAGCCUUCUAGUCAGAUCAGCUCUAGACUGCUGUCAGUUCUGGGAUUUGCAGGGCCCUGCAGGGUAACACCAUCGCUUUCAAGAAAAGGUAAAGCCCAUAAAACCUAUAAAGGUAAAGCCCAUAAAACCUAUCUCAAACACACUUCAUACUCACUUAGGAUCUUACACUCCUUGGUACUGUUCUAAUUUAUUAGAUGUCAAUCCUGGAGAAACUGUCCAUGCCCACUCCAGGAGAGAGUUCUGGAAAUCACUCUGGAGUCUGGCCUCUCAGAGAGCUGCCACGUUGGACUGAUGGGUGCCUCAUUAUUAUCAUACCCUACAGUUCCUCUAGUUCCCCAAAUGGGACAUCUACUAAUUGUCACCUUACUGGCUAUGGACAUACAUUUGCACUAAUCCCUCCACAUGCCUUUGGAAACCAUUGCUCAAAUUUGCAAAGUAGGCUCUAGGAUGCAGUCCCAGCCUGCUUCACAGAACAAGGACAAGGGCAGGUUCCUCCAGAACAAGGCUGCCCUUUGUCUCCAUGGCCUGAUGCUCCUGCAACCCACUGUGAUCCCACAUGCCCACAUCCCCACCCCUCCAAAUCAGGAAGUCUGACCAAGAGAUCUUGUGAACUAGUUCAGCUAACUGCAGUGCAAGUCCCCCUCCUGCAAACAAGUUCCCUUGCCAAAGGUGCUGAGAUUUGCACUCAUCCUGACAUGCCUGGGGUCCAUCUAGCUUGUGCUAUUAAUAGCCACGCCAUGACACUAGCCCUCAGCUUAUUAAUAAUGCAUGACCAUUCCCACUUCGUUAGGAUACAAACGUCGCUCAUCUGCAUGAUUAGCUCUUAGCUUCCUGAUUAGAAUGCUUUAACCUGUCACAAGCAUGCCCUUUCUGGAUGAACGGAUCUUUUAAAGGGUACCAUGUUCUCUAAAGUACAGCUUAAAAUAAAAUUUAAAAACAAAAAGCACUGGCUCUUUAUUUUUUUCUGUGGAAUGAGAGAAAAACAGACUCGAAGUUUGGGGGGGGUCUGUCAUCGUUGAGUUCUAAGCUGGGGUACUUGGAUACUUGGAAGAUAUAAAAGUUGGAGACAGACACAAGGGCUUAUAGGUGACAUUAUUUAAUGAAUUUGAAUCUUUUACUCUGGGGAAUGUGGGGCAGCCACUAAGUGAUUGUGAGC
Molecule: long non-coding RNA, 1539 nt
Filed under: Rattus norvegicus (Norway rat)
Lineage: Eukaryota; Metazoa; Chordata; Mammalia; Rodentia; Muridae
Description: long non-coding RNA NONRATT020344
Source: RNAcentral